GCAGUCAUUCUAGGACUGGUUACAGCAGUCCCUGCUCGUGACAGGAAGCUUCGCAGCCGGGAGGCAACAAUAAAUCAAUCAGUUCUUUCUGUGGUUCACGUGUUCGCCAGUCGGCAUAAGCCAACAGAACACUUUCACAGAACCUGAACGGGUAUGCUAUGGCUGUCCUGCUCACCAGGCAGACUUUGUGGCAGGAGCAGGGGCAGUAUGUAGCAUGUGAAGAGGAACACUGCGCUUCAGGCUGUUUGAAAGGAACGGGACAGAACCCCACAACACAGCACCUGCAGCCUGGCGGACAGAUGUGGAGUUCACAUGUGAGCCGCCACCAGUGGCAACAAUUAGCCUGUGACUUCCACAGUAGACUCCCCCUCAAUCACUCAUAUUAUUUAGCAUAAUGAGUUUACCUGUGUGGUUUGUUCAAUACAAUCUAAGUGAGGCUGUGUGAAAUUGUUGCCAUUAAGAGUUUUUUUAAAAACAUUUCAGUCCUGUAUAUAACUAAUUCAGAUCAAAAUCAUGACUACAUUUUGAAUUAAACUAUUUUGGACAAAAAAAAAAGAAAAGUUGGUCCAAAUAGUUAUUUUCUAAAAUCCAUUACUUCAGUUUAUUUUCCCUACAAUUAAGUUUUAUAAUCACCUAGAGCCAUAAAAGUAGUUCAAUCCUUUUAUCUGAAAAACACCAUGUCAAAUAAUGAUUAGAACAUUUACAAAAAAACCACACACAGUGGAGUCACUAUGAAAACUACAUACAGGGUGUACCAUUAAAGAAAACAGACAGGUGUAAAAAUGCCAUUGUCAUUUUAUUUAUACAAUGCCUGUGAAGUACAGUCAUGAACAUUACAGGAAGCCAAAGCAACAUAUCACUAUACCAUCAAACCCAUACAGUCGUUUCUGUAUAAUUCACUGGAAAUAAAUACAAAAAUUAAAUGUUUAUUGUUGGAACAGAGUAUGCAAAAGGAAACCGUAUCCGUUAGUAUCGUUCUCAGAACCAGACUCCACGCUACGUCACCAUGUCACAAUUAUGCUGCUCGAACAUCAGUAAUGUAUACAAGCAGUUUUAGAAAGAGGAUCUCCGAUGUGUAAAAAAGACCUUCACAGUACUAGAGCUAAAAUGGGAUUUUAAACUGACAAGACAA
This is a non-coding RNA of Lepisosteus oculatus (spotted gar), 1132 nucleotides long. NCBI's taxonomy places the organism in Eukaryota, Metazoa, Chordata, Actinopteri, Semionotiformes, Lepisosteidae. The record is from RefSeq and is a predicted model, not a curated record.